CAGUCGCCGCGGUAAUACGAAGGGGGCUAGCGUUGUUCGGAAUUACUGGGCGUAAAGCGCACGUAGGCGGACAUUUAAGUCAGGGGUGAAAUCCCGGGGCUCAACCCCGGAACUGCCUUUGAUACUGGGUGUCUUGAGUGUGGAAGAGGUCAGUGGAAUUGCGAGUGUAGAGGUGAAAUUCGUAGAUAUUCGCAGGAACACCAGUGGCGAAGGCGGCUGACUGGCCCACAACUGACGCUGAGGUGCGAAAGCGUGGGAGCAAACAGGAUUAGAUACCCGAGUGUCCCUGUCUCUUAUACAC
Molecule: ribosomal RNA, 301 nt
Filed under: uncultured bacterium
Lineage: Bacteria
Description: partial 16S ribosomal RNA
Rfam family: Bacterial small subunit ribosomal RNA
Source: RNAcentral